UCUAGUUUUGUUUUUGAAAUUUAUAGGAAGAUCUAGCUUGCAAUUAUCAAAGGGAAGCAAAAGGUAAUUAUUUUCUGAAAUUUUGGGGUUUUUCUUCCUUAUUUUCUCUCUCCUCUUUGUUCACGAUUUCCGGCCACCACGGUGGUGGUUCGCCGGCGAGAUCGUCGAGUUUCGACGGGACCACUGCCGGCCAGCAGUAGGUGACCAGCGACUGGACGAGCGCCGCUGCCACCGUCGCGUCAGUGGUGGUGCGGGUGGUGCUUGUGGUGGCGCCGGUUGGGUUUCAAGAAUAAUUAAAGCCAGUCAAACUUUUGACUGUUGAUUUUUGUGUAAUCAAGAGUUUAGAGAAGAAGUUGCAGGUACAAGUUCUUGAUGUGCAUGGAAAUCAUAAGCAUCCGGAUGGGAAUUUUCAGUGCACGAGUACUUUAUUAUUUAAGUUAUCUUAAAUUUUAUAUUUGACUUUACUUGACCAAUGGGGUCAAGGUUUGACUUUUGAAAUGGGACUAGUAUGGGAUAGUCUCGGAGUUUGUAAUUCAUUUACAUGCUUUCUUAUUUCCGUUGUAUUAAAGUAUUUCCAGUUUAUUUUAAAA
Molecule: long non-coding RNA, 590 nt
Organism: Beta vulgaris subsp. vulgaris (sugar beet)
Lineage: Eukaryota; Viridiplantae; Streptophyta; Magnoliopsida; Caryophyllales; Amaranthaceae
Exons: 3
Source: RefSeq, a predicted model, not a curated record